RNAcentral lists this unclassified non-coding RNA (546 nucleotides) under Phialemonium globosum. RNAcentral describes it as "sequence contains 18S rRNA gene, ITS1, 5.8S rRNA gene, ITS2, 28S rRNA gene". The stretch from base 193 to 343 matches the Rfam family "5.8S ribosomal RNA". The record is from RNAcentral. Lineage: Eukaryota; Fungi; Ascomycota; Sordariomycetes; Cephalothecales; Cephalothecaceae.
GUAACAAGGUCUCCGUUGGUGAACCAGCGGAGGGAUCAUUACAGAGUCUAGCGACUCCCAAACCACUGUUAACCUACCUAUCGUUGCCUCGGCGGGCGCGCCCCGUCUCAGGGGGCCGCAGCUGCGCCCGCCGAAGGCCUCAAAACUAUAUCUAUUUGAGUGGCACUUCUGAGCAAACUUCCAAACAAUCAAAACUUUCAACAACGGAUCUCUUGGUUCUGGCAUCGAUGAAGAACGCAGCGAAAUGCGAUAAGUAAUGUGAAUUGCAGAAUUCAGUGAAUCAUCGAAUCUUUGAACGCACAUUGCGCCCGCCGUCUCGGCGGGCAUGCCUGUCUGAGCGUCAUUUCAACCCUCAAGCCCCGCUUGGUGUUGGGGUGCUACGGGCAACCGUAGGCCCUGAAAACUAGUGGCGGACUCGCUGAAGGUCCGGGCGUAGUAGUAAUAUCUCGCCCGAGGUCCCCAGCGUGCUCUGGCCGUUAAACCCCCAAUCUUACAGAAGGUUGACCUCAGAUCAGGUAGGGAUACCCGCUGAACCUAAGCAUAUCA